RNAcentral lists this ribosomal RNA (221 nucleotides) under uncultured bacterium. RNAcentral's name for it is "partial 16S ribosomal RNA". It matches the Rfam family "Bacterial small subunit ribosomal RNA", at positions 111 to 334 of the family's 1533-position model. The record is from RNAcentral.
UAAUGUAUGGGGAUCUGCCCGAUAGGGGGGAGUAACUACUAGGAAACGGGGGCUAAUACCGCAUAAUGUCUACGGACCAAAGCAGGGGCUCUUCGGACCUUGCACUAUCGGAUGAACCCAUAUGGGAUUAGCUAGUAGGUGGGGUAAAGGCUCACCUAGGCGACGAUCUCUAGCUGGUCUGAGAGGAUGAUCAGCCACACUGGGACUGAGACACGGCCCAG